RNAcentral lists this ribosomal RNA (739 nucleotides) under uncultured Bacteroidota bacterium. RNAcentral describes it as "bacterial SSU rRNA". It matches the Rfam family "Bacterial small subunit ribosomal RNA", at positions 574 to 1317 of the family's 1533-position model. Lineage: Bacteria; Pseudomonadati; Bacteroidota. The record is from RNAcentral.
GGCGGAGCGGUAAGUCAGUGGUGAAAGCCCCCAGCUCAACUGGGGAACUGCCAUUGAAACUGCUGUUCUUGAGUACAGUUGAGGUAGGCGGAAUGUAUCAUGUAGCGGUGAAAUGCAUAGAUAUGAUACAGAACACCUAUAGCGUAGGCAGCUUACCAAACUGUAACUGACGCUGAGGCACGAAAGCGUGGGGAGCAAACAGGAUAAGAUACCCUGGUAGUCCACGCUGUAAACUAUGAUCACUCGCUGUUGGCGAUACACUGUCAGCGGCUAAGCGAAAGCAUUAAGUGAUCCACCUGGGGAGUACGGCCGCAAGGUUGAAACUCAAAGGAAUUGACGGGGGCCCGCACAAGCGGAGGAGCAUGUGGUUUAAUUCGAUGAUACGCGAGGAACCUUACCAAGGCUUAAAUGCUAGACGACCGUUCCCGAAAGGGGACUUUCCUUCGGGACGUCUUGCAAGGUGCUGCAUGGUUGUCGUCAGCUCGUGCCGUGAGGUGUCGGGUUAAGUCCCAUAACGAGCGCAACCCCUAUUCUUAGUUGCCAUCAGGUAAUGCUGGGGACUCUAAGGAAACUGCCUACGCAAGUAGUGAGGAAGGUGGGGAUGACGUCAAAUCAGCACGGCCCUUAUGUCUUGGGCUACACACGUGCUACAAUGGCCGGUACAGAGGGUAGCUACCUGGUGACAGGAUGCUAAUCUCGAAAGCCGGUCUCAGUUCGGAUCGAAGUCUGCAACUCGACU